RNAcentral lists this ribosomal RNA (500 nucleotides) under uncultured Myrionecta. Its description in RNAcentral is "SSU rRNA". It matches the Rfam family "Eukaryotic small subunit ribosomal RNA", at positions 33 to 598 of the family's 1831-position model. The record is from RNAcentral. Lineage: Eukaryota; Ciliophora; Litostomatea; Cyclotrichida; Mesodiniidae.
UUGUUUUCAGACUAGCCAUGCACGUCUAAGUACAAACUAAAUGAUGGUGAAACUGCAAAUGGCUCAUUACAACGGUUAUGAUGUACCCGGGAGUUCCGAUGGAUAUUUCCAGUAACACUAGAACUAAUACAUGUCCCUGCGUUUAUUAGUUUCGCACAGUCCGUCGCUGAGUCAUGGUAAACAGUUGAUCGACUCGACGUCCCGGAACAGUUUCCGCCCCAUCAGCUUCGAUGGUUGGGUAUUGGCCUACCAUUGCAACAACGGGUAACGAAGAAUUAGGGUUUGAUUUCGGAGAGGGAGCCUGAGAAACGGCUACCACAUCUACGGAUGGCAGCAGGCGCGCAAAUUACCCAAUGCAGACACUGUGAGGUAGUGACGAGAAAUAAUAAAGCGGGACUUCUGUUUCGCUAUUAUAAUGAGGAAUAACCAAAGGUCAUUCCGAUUAGCAACUGAUGGGAAAGUCUGGUGCCAGCAGCCGCGGUAAUACCAGCGUCAGUAGC